CAUUGCCUACGGGACGCAGCAGUGAGGAAUAUUGGUCAAUGGGCGGUAGCCUGAACCAGCCAAGUAGCGUGAAGGAUGAAGGUUCUAUGGAUUGUAAACUUCUUUUAUAAAGGAAUAAAGUGAGGCACGUGUGCCUUUUUGUAUGUACUUUAUGAAUAAGGAUCGGCUAACUCCGUGCCAGCAGCCGCGGUAAUACGGAGGAUCCGAGCGUUAUCCGGAUUUAUUGGGUUUAAAGGGUGCGUAGGCGGUCCGUUAAGUCAGCGGUAAAAUUGCGGGGCUCAACCCCGUCGAGCCGUUGAAACUGG
Molecule: ribosomal RNA, 305 nt
Filed under: uncultured bacterium
Lineage: Bacteria
Description: bacterial SSU rRNA
Rfam family: Bacterial small subunit ribosomal RNA
Source: RNAcentral